Molecule: ribosomal RNA, 253 nt
Filed under: uncultured bacterium
Lineage: Bacteria
Description: partial 16S ribosomal RNA
Rfam family: Bacterial small subunit ribosomal RNA
Source: RNAcentral
UACGGGGGGGGCAAGCGUUGUUCGGAAUUACUGGGCGUAAAGGGUGCGUAGGCGGUUCGCUAAGUUGGAUGUGAAAACUCUGGGCUUAACCCAGAGCCUGCAUCCAAUACUGACGAGCUAGAGUUCUGGAGGGGGUAGCGGAAUUCCUGGUGUAGCGGUGAAAUGCGUAGAUAUCAAGAGGAACACCUGAGGUGAAGACGGGUUGCUGGGCUGAUACUGACGCUGAAGCGCGAAAGCUAGGGUAGCAAACGGG